Molecule: RNA transcript, 1009 nt
Organism: Zea mays
Lineage: Eukaryota; Viridiplantae; Streptophyta; Magnoliopsida; Poales; Poaceae
Gene name: splicing factor, arginine/serine-rich 12
Exons: 6
Source: RefSeq, marked validated
AUUUAGCGCUCGUGGAAAGGAGACGUCUCUGAACCGAGGCUGCGACUGCGAGGGCAUCAGGGCAGCGAGGCCUCUUGUCGCGUGAAUCCCCUCGAGAGCCGCCGGCGGAGCCAUGGCGCGGUCCCCAGCUGCCUCCUCCUCCUCCUACACGGAUAGCACGGGAUCCUCCUCCGACUCAGGCUCCAGCUCAUCGGGAAUCGACCGCCGCCGCCGCCGCCACCGCCAUCGGAGCAGCCGCCGCAAGGAGGGCACGUCCUCGUCCGCGCUGAAGGCGCGCAAGGACCGGAGGUCCCGCCACAAGCGCCGCCGCCACGAGCGGGAGCGGCGGCGGUCCGCGUCCGACGACGACAGCUACAGCACAAGCUCUUAUGACAGUGACCGUGAGGUGUCUGGCAGAUCUCGGAAACAUAAGAAGAGCAGCAGAUCAAGAAAGUUUAGGGAGAGGGAGCGGAGCAAAGAUAGACAUCAUAGACGAGACAAGAGUAAACACAAAGAGCUGGGAUUGGUGAACGGGUGACAACAUGGUGGAUUGGCCUGCUGCUUGUUCUGUUGGUGGGUUGGUUGUGUUCUAUUAUAAAUGGGGGAGCUUUAUACAGAAGAAAGAGAGUGAGCAUGCUGAUGGCCCUGUCCAGCUUUCCAAGUUUCUUGGACGGGACAAAGAAAAGGAAGAAGGUACUCAACGGAGUGCAAUCUCUGGUAAAAAGAUAAUGAUGAAGCUUGAGAAGACAAAGGAAGACAAGGCAGCAGAGAGCAAGCGAAACGAACUGUUGAAGUUUCUGAAUGCCAGUUACGAUUGAUGUGUUCGAAUCGCUGGCGCAGAAAGUGCAGAAUGCCCUUUUUUAUCGUCUUUGCACUGGUGCUUUUGGUGAUACUUAAGUUAUAAACGUUUUGUUUCUUGUCUAUAACUUGGCCACCAAAGUUUUGUUAUGCUUAACUAGUGACUGAGUGAAGGUCUACAUGUAAUUGAUUUGAAUUCUGUGUUGCCAGUCAUGGAUUUGCAGCUUUUAAA